CGGGAAAAGCCCAACUUGAAAAUCUCCCUUUGGAGAAUUGUAGUCUACAGAAGUGCCCUCUGUGGCGGGUGGAGCUCAAGUCCGCUGGAAGGCGGCGUCAGAGAGGGUGAGAACCCCGUCGGCUCUGUCCUUGCCACACCACGAGGUGCUUUCCACGAGUCGGGUUGUUUGUGAAUGCAGCCCUAAUUGGUAGGUAAAUCCCUACUAAGGCUAAAUACUGGCGAGAGACCGAUAGCGAACAAGUACCGUGAGGGAAAGAUGAAAAGAACUUUGGAAAGAGAGUUAAAAAGUGCUUGAAAUUGUUGAGGGGGAAGCGUUUGGAGGCCGUGGGUGCGCCUAGGCUUAUGCGUCUCUAACGAGCCGCUGCAUGCGCUAGGUGCUGGUCAGCAUGGGUUAGGGUGGCGGGAAAUGUGCUGGGGUUGACACCCGGUUCGUGCCGCCGCCUUGACCGAGGACUUGAAGGCCGCUUCGUCCAAUUUUUUGGAACUGCGGCCUCAAGAUGUUGGCAGAAGGCUUUCAACCGGCCCGUCUUGAAACACGGACCAAGGAGUCUAACAAGUAUGCGAGUUGGUGGGUAACGAAACCCAUGAGCGCAAGUAACCUGACUGGUGGGAUGGCUUUUAACCGGGCCUGCACCAUCGACCGACCAUGAUCUUCUGUGAAAGGUUUGAGUGCGAGCAUACCUGUUGGGACCCGAAAGAUGGUGAACUAUGCCUGAGCAGGGCGAAGCCAGAUGAAAUCUGGUGGAGGCUCGUAGAUGUGCUGACGUGCAAAUCGCUUUUCGGACUUGGGUAUAGGGGCGAAAGACUAAUCGAACCAUCUAGUAGCUGGUUCCCUCCGAAGUUUCCCCCAGGAUAGCUGGAGCUUGAUAUCAGUUUUAUCGGGUAAAGCGAAUGAUUAGAGGUUCGGGGGAUGAAACAUCCUUCACCUAUUCUCAAACUUUAAAUAGGUAAGACGUGCCGGUUGCUUGAUUGAACCGGCGCACUCAAUGUAAGCUCCAAGUGGGCCAUUUUUGGUAAGCAGAACUGGCGACGCGGGAUGAACCGAUAGCCGAGUUAAAGUGCCGGACUACGCGCUAACCUAGAUCCCACAAAGGGUGUCGCUUGAUAUAGACAGCAGGACGGUGGUCAUGGAAGUCGAAACCCGCUAAGGAGUGUGUAACAACUCACCUGCCGAAUCACGUGGCCCCGAAAAUGGAUGGCGCUGAAGCGCGUGACUUAUACUCGGCCAUGGAAGCAAGUGCGAGGCUUCCAUGAGUAGGAGGGCGUGGGCGUCGUUGCGCAGCCUUGUGGGCGUGAGCCCGGGUGAAACGGCGCCUAGUGCAGAUCUUGGUGGUAGUAGCAAAUAUUCAAAUGAGAACUUUGAAGACUGAAGUGGAGAAAGGUUCCAUGUGAACAGCAAUUGGACAUGGGUUAGUCGAUCCUAAGAGAUGGGGCAAUCCUGUAUCAAGAGCGCAGUCACCCUGCGCUGCCCAUCGAAAGGGAAAAGGGUUAAAAUUCCCUUACCUGGACGAGGCGGUUGGCGGUAACGCAAGCGAGCCCGGAGACAUCGGCAUUGGCCCUGGAAAGAGUUCUCUUUUCUUUUUAACGGCCCGAAGGCCCUGGAAUCGGAUCAUCCGGCGAUAGGGCUCAGUGGCCGGUAAAGCACCGCACUUCUCGCGGUGUCCGGCGCGCCAAUGACGGUCCUGGAAAAUCCGGGGGAGCGACUACCGAUCUCGCCAGGUCGUACUCAUAACCGCAUCAGGUCUCCAAGGUGAACAGCCUCUAGUCGAUAGAACAAUGUAGAUAAGGGAAGUCGGCAAAACAGAUCCGUAACUUCGGGAAAAGGAUUGGCUCUGAGGGCUAGGCUUUGGGAUCUGCGUUCGGAAUCCAUGGGCUGUCGGCUGUCUGCUUCCUUGGGCUCUGUCAAAGGAGUCUUUGGUGGUGGACGGCUGCGUGCCUGUGGUGGACGGGCGUGGAAAGCCCCUAAAAAGGCGCUCCUAUUGCGACGAAUAGCCAACUCAGAACUGGUACGGACAUGGGGAAUCCGACUGUUUAAUUAAAACAAA
RNAcentral lists this ribosomal RNA (2047 nucleotides) under Ixipapillifera deasonii. Its description in RNAcentral is "eukaryotic LSU rRNA". It matches the Rfam family "Eukaryotic large subunit ribosomal RNA", at positions 99 to 2155 of the family's 3401-position model. Lineage: Eukaryota; Viridiplantae; Chlorophyta; Chlorophyceae; Chlamydomonadales; Chlamydomonadaceae. The record is from RNAcentral.